AGGGAGAUUAAGGAUUAAUAAAGAACACCUGGCUUCCUCCAAUCCAGGGGAUAAAACAACCUGUUCUCAGUCACAUGAAUGUCUCUCUCCUUUGCUGAACUAGAACACCAGAUUUCUUAUGUAUCUAUUUUGAUCUGUUUAAGUUCAAUUAUUUAUCUCUUUCUUUAUCAUUUUUGUUUGGUGUUGGCAGUAUUUGGAUAGGCAGGUGGAUUUUGGGGCAUAACAGAGUAAAUGAUGAACUGAUCAGCUGAUCCUUAAAUCGUACAUUCCGUGUGCUGGCCAUCAGUUUAUUCCCACAAUAUAUUUGCAGGUAAAUUGUGACAGAUGCAUCAAAAAGGAAAGACUACUUCAAAAAUCUUCUUCUGUUUGUCUUUUCCAUCAGAAUACUACAGCACAUCACCUGUAUCACUUCAAAUGUGUUCCCCUAGAUAACAAAAGCAAGGGUGGACAGGACUCCCCCAAAGACUGCGCUGUCAUGACAAUGAUUAUGAACCUUGCCAGAUUCCCUCAGUCUCUUUCUUUCUCUCUCUCUCCCUUUCUCUCUGUGGUUUAGGAGUAUAUGUAGAUCUGUCUUUAAUUAAGGCAGUUGGUGUCAGAAUGAGAUAAGCAAGGAAUGUAGUGAUCACAUUGUAAUGAUGUCUCUAGCGGUGUAGCGACACAGAAAGGGCAGACUGGGCACUUAUUGGUGGGCAGCUCCUGAUGUGCAGAAAGAUACAGGAUUUGCAUAACUGUUAACGGUUAACUGGUUCAUGACAUCUGUGUACAGUGUUUCAUUUGAUUCAAUUAAUCAAAUGUAUUUGUGAAGUGUAUGUGAUUCUAUCAUGCAGUUCUGCUUUUUCACACUGUGGCUUUGUGUGUGCUGGAAAUUAGGCAGAGAUACAUUAUAUACUUUUAGCUGAAUGAAUAAUUAAGCUAUACUGUUCUUGAUUCAAAUUGAACAUUCAUCAACAAUUUUGUUUGCAUUAUGCUAAAGGAGCUUACUGGCUCCCAAAGUGGUUCUCUUGAGUCCACGAUAAACUCUGCAGUCAGACUUUUUUUGUCAUCAUAUGACCAGGAGCCCAGAGUGGUUAGAGAUUAAUUGGACUUGUUCCACCAGGAGUAAGGCAGGUUUAACAAGUAUUUAUUGGAUUACCCCUUUUUUUUCUUCAAAAGAAACAACUCACCAGCUGCCCUCAGGCUAACAGGUGUGGUGUUUAGAUGGCAGAGGGCAUAUGAUCACCCUGCUUGUUGUGCAGGUGGCAUAGCUUGAAGGGCACAUUUGGCAGUUCCACAUAAAUGCCUUCAACGCAGCAAUUACAAAUGCAGUUCACAAUCUCAUUUGAUCAAUAGUGUUCAUGAUAAUAAAUACAAGAAGCCCGUGGGCUCUCUGCAGUAUCUUGAUGCAUCAUGGAUUUAAUAUGUAAUGAUAUGUAAUCAAUAUUACUUCCAGAUGAAGUCUGUAAAAUAAAAUAAACUACUCUGACUGAAAUUAAAUCAUGCCAAA
Anguilla rostrata (American eel) is the source of this 1483-nucleotide long non-coding RNA. RefSeq lists it as uncharacterized. The transcript is spliced from 4 exons. Lineage: Eukaryota; Metazoa; Chordata; Actinopteri; Anguilliformes; Anguillidae. The record is from RefSeq and is a predicted model, not a curated record.